Molecule: ribosomal RNA, 450 nt
Filed under: uncultured bacterium
Lineage: Bacteria
Description: partial 16S ribosomal RNA
Rfam family: Bacterial small subunit ribosomal RNA
Source: RNAcentral
CCUACGGGGGGCAGCAGUGAGGAAUAUUGGUCAAUGGGCGUAAGCCUGAACCAGCCAUCCCGCGUGAAGGAAGAAGGCGCUAUGCGUCGUAAACUUCUUUUCCAGAGGAAUAAAAUUUCGUACGUGUACGGAACUGCAGGUACUUUGGGAAUAAGCAUCGGCUAACUCCGUGCCAGCAGCCGCGGUAAUACGGAGGAUGCGAGCGUUAUCCGGAUUUAUUGGGGUUUAGGCGUACGUAGGCGUCAGAGUAGAAAACCUUCAGCUUAACUGGAGAACUGCCAUUGAUACUGUUAGUCUUGAGUACGGUCAAGGUAGGCGGAAUGUGUAAUGUAGCGGUGAAAUGCUUAGAUAUUACACAGAACACCGAUUGCGAAGGCAGCUGACUGGGCCAUUACUGACGCUGAUGCACGAAAGCGUGGGGAGCGAACAGGAUUAGAUACCCCGGUAGUC